GUAGCAUAAUCAUUAGUCUCCUAAUUAGAGGCUUGUAUGAAUGGUCGGACAAGAUGGAAACUGUCUCAGUACAAAAUAUAAAAUUUAAUAUUUAAGUAAAAAAGCUUAAAUAAAAUGAAGUGACGAUAAGACCCUAUAAAGCUUUAUAGUAGUUCCUUUCUAUUUAGAUUAUAAAAUUUCAACUUUUUUAAAGGCUAUUACUAUUUUACUGGGGCGGUAAAAGUAUAUUAUGAUUAACUGCUUUUGUCUUGACAAACAAUAGUAAUUGGAUAAUUAUGUGAUCCAUUAUUAAUGAUCAAAAGUACAAGUUACUUUAGGGAUAACAGCGUAAUUUUUCUUGAGAGUCCUCAUCGAAAGAAAAGUUUGCGACCUCGAUGUUGAAUUAAGGAAGCCUUAAGGUGCAGCA
This 406-nucleotide ribosomal RNA is filed under the name Gonodactylaceus ternatensis. RNAcentral's name for it is "partial 16S ribosomal RNA". It matches the Rfam family "Bacterial large subunit ribosomal RNA", at positions 1956 to 2560 of the family's 2925-position model. The record is from RNAcentral. Lineage: Eukaryota; Metazoa; Arthropoda; Malacostraca; Stomatopoda; Gonodactylidae.